This 253-nucleotide ribosomal RNA is filed under the name uncultured bacterium. Its description in RNAcentral is "partial 16S ribosomal RNA". It matches the Rfam family "Bacterial small subunit ribosomal RNA", at positions 524 to 776 of the family's 1533-position model. The record is from RNAcentral.
UACGGAGGGUGCAAGCAUUAAUCGGAUUUAUUGGGCGUAAAGGGCGCGUAGGCGGCCUGUUAAGUCGAACGUGAAAUCCCCGGGCUCAACCCGGGAACUGCGUCCGAUACUGGCAGGCUUGAAUCCGGGAGAGGGAUGCGGAAUUCCAGGUGUAGCGGUGAAAUGCGUAGAUAUCUGGAGGAACACCGGUGGCGAAGGCGGGUCUCUGGGCCGAUACUGACGCUGAGGAGCGAAAGCGUGGGGAGCGAACAGG